GGGUUUCAGGGUUAGAUCUUGAAACUUUUUCAAGAUCAUACAGCGGAAGACUAAAAUAAAUUAAAAUUUAUUUUCUAAGAUCAGAAAAUCUCUAGAUCUAAGAUCCUAUUACAUGAUUAUUACAUAGCAUUAAAUCAAAAAUUAAAAUAUAUAUAAAUAUAGUAUGAACUACAUGUUGAUCAUAUCAACAUGUUUCUAUACUAGCUACAUCUAAUGUAUGUAUUAAAUAAUAGAUCAGAUCUAUUACCUUGCAAGUUAGAUGCUCUAACCUCGCUGAUCCGGGUUUAAGGAUGAUGUUG
RNAcentral lists this long non-coding RNA (299 nucleotides) under Elaeis guineensis (African oil palm). Its description in RNAcentral is "long non-coding RNA (EGUI_LNC047981)". The record is from RNAcentral. Lineage: Eukaryota; Viridiplantae; Streptophyta; Magnoliopsida; Arecales; Arecaceae.